AGCGAACGCUGGCGGCAGGCCUAACACAUGCAAGUCGAACGAACUCUUCGGAGUUAGUGGCGGACGGGUGAGUAACACGUGGGAACGUGCCUUUAGGUUCGGAAUAACUCAGGGAAACUUGUGCUAAUACCGAAUGUGCCCUUCGGGGGAAAGAUUUAUCGCCUUUAGAGCGGCCCGCGUCUGAUUAGCUAGUUGGUGAGGUAAAGGCUCGCCAAGGCGACGAUCAGUAGCUGGUCUGAGAGGAUGAUCAGCCACAUUGGGACUGAGACACGGCCCAAACUCCUACGGGAGGCAGCAGUGGGGAAUCUUGCGCAAUGGGCGAAAGCCUGACGCAGCCAUGCCGCGUGAAUGAUGAAGGUCUUAGGAUUGUAAAAUUCUUUCACCGGGGACGAUAAGGACGGUACCCGGAGAAGAAGCCCCGGCUAACUUCGU
Molecule: ribosomal RNA, 432 nt
Filed under: uncultured bacterium
Lineage: Bacteria
Description: partial 16S ribosomal RNA
Rfam family: Bacterial small subunit ribosomal RNA
Source: RNAcentral